AUCAGAGAGCCAAACACUGACGGAGAACCAAGCAUCGCACUGGAGAUCUAUCCUCGGACUACGAGGGGACGCCAUCAACAUGGUGGUUCUGAUGGAAACCUGUUUACCCAUCUGAGGUUAAAGCCUGCAGGUUGAGAACAAUGCUACUCCUGCUAGAUAUGAAGGGAACCUGACGUGUUUGCACCGAACAUGUCCAGAACUCACUAUGGACUUUAUCACAGACUGGACUGAAUCAUGAAAAACUCCAAUUGCUUGUUUAUUCUUUUUGCUAAAUAUAACUUUUAGUUAAAUUUAA
Trichomycterus rosablanca is the source of this 295-nucleotide long non-coding RNA. RefSeq lists it as uncharacterized. The record is from RefSeq and is a predicted model, not a curated record. NCBI's taxonomy places the organism in Eukaryota, Metazoa, Chordata, Actinopteri, Siluriformes, Trichomycteridae. The transcript is spliced from 2 exons.